AUGGACGCCGCCGCCGCCGCCGCCGUCACCACCCUCUCCGCGCUCGCCGUCUUCGCCAGCACGCUCCACCAAGGUGCCGUGCGGAGCGUGCACGGGUACAGGGUCGUCGCGAUGGGAGGGAGGUGCGCGUGGGACCGGUGGGUGGAGCGGGAGUUCGCCUUCUCCCCCACCUCCUGCCGCGAGGUCCCGCUCCCCGCCGCCGCGCCGCGGAUACUCCCGGUCGAGUGGCGCGGCCGCCCGGCGUACCGCGAGGGCCAGGUGUUUGGCACCUGGCGCUGCGUCCUGGCCUUCGACUCCAUCGCCGCCGUGCCGCUGCCGCCCACGCCUCCCCCGAUGCUCUGCCCCUUCCGGAACCCGGGGCUGGUGUGCGUGCCUUCGCUGUACAACGACCUGUACAUGGUGUAUCAGUUUCAGAAAUUUCAACAGGUCCCGGAGCUCGUCAAACGUGAUUCGGAUGAGAAAUCGACCCGUUUGGAUGCAGAGGAUAAAACUUGUGAUGUUGAAGUUAAAGAAGAGUCAGGGUCUGAUUCUGAUGAGGAUCCCCAAUCUGGUGAAGAACUUCCAGCACAUGUUGCGAGACGCCGGAGAGCCAAGAAGCAGCACAUAGCUAGCAUCACUCUAGCUGACAUAGCCCCGUACUUCCAUCUUCCAAUCAGAGAAGCAUCCAGGGCUCUGAAGAUCGGAGUCAGCAUACUGAAGCAGAAAUGCAGGCAAUACGGGAUACCCCGCUGGCCUCACAGGAAGAUCAAGUCCCUCGAUUCACUGAUUGGUGAUCUGGAGGUAAAUCUGGCAGCACCCUCUGCCCUUCUCCACCUGAUCAAUGAUUCCGGUUUCGCAAACAUAGCUGGGCAACAUUUGGCCGUAGUCUGCAGCAGUGGAUCAUGUAGUGCCGACCUGCUGACACCAACACAACACAUUCUUUUUUUGUGUCCAUUGUUACAGUUUGUGAUGGACGACACAGAUGGAGAUGUUGUGCAGAAGGAGACUAGCAGGCAGAGGGAGAAGGAGAGGGAGAAGGAGAAGGAGAAGGAGAAGGAGAAGGAGAAGGAGAAGCAGGAGGCGAUCCAAGCGCUGGCUAAGCGGAAGCGGUUGCUGGAGAGCGAGAAGGAGAUCAUCCAGCAGAAGCCUGCCCUGGACCUGAUGGCUGAAACCAAGCUGUUCAGGGAGGACGUUUUCAAGAGGAGAUACAGAGCUAAAAGAUUGCCCGGUCACUGA
Molecule: ribosomal RNA, 1215 nt
Filed under: Triticum aestivum (bread wheat)
Lineage: Eukaryota; Viridiplantae; Streptophyta; Magnoliopsida; Poales; Poaceae
Description: partial small subunit ribosomal RNA
Source: RNAcentral